Molecule: transfer RNA, 57 nt
Filed under: Urocitellus parryii (Arctic ground squirrel)
Lineage: Eukaryota; Metazoa; Chordata; Mammalia; Rodentia; Sciuridae
Also listed under: 2 other names
Description: Spermophilus parryii (Arctic ground squirrel) tRNA
Rfam family: tRNA
About the family: Transfer RNA (tRNA) molecules are approximately 80 nucleotides in length. Their secondary structure includes four short double-helical elements and three loops (D, anti-codon, and T loops). Further hydrogen bonds mediate the characteristic L-shaped molecular structure. tRNAs have two regions of fundamental functional importance: the anti-codon, which is responsible for specific mRNA codon recognition, and the 3' end, to which the tRNAs corresponding amino acid is attached (by aminoacyl-tRNA synthetases). tRNAs cope with the degeneracy of the genetic code in two manners: having more than one tRNA (with a specific anti-codon) for a particular amino acid; and 'wobble' base-pairing, i.e. permitting non-standard base-pairing at the 3rd anti-codon position.
Source: Rfam by way of RNAcentral
UAGCUCAGUGGCAGAGCACUUGUCUAGCAUGCAUGAGGCCCUGGGUUCAAUCUCCAG